GGAAGAGCUCAAAUUUAUAAUCUCGGCACCUUCGGUGUCCGAGUUGUAAUCUCUAGAAAUGUUUUCCGCGUUGGACCGCACACAAGUCUGUUGGAAUACAGCGGCAUAGUGGUGAGACCCCCGUAUAUGGUGCGGACGCCCAGCGCUUUGUGAUACAUUUUCGAAGAGUCGAGUUGUUUGGGAAUGCAGCUCAAAUUGGGUGGUAAAUUCCAUCUAAAGCUAAAUAUUGGCGAGAGACCGAUAGCGAACAAGUACCGUGAGGGAAAGAUGAAAAGCACUUUGGAAAGAGAGUUAACAGUACGUGAAAUUGUUGGAAGGGAAACGCUUGAAGUCAGACUUGCUUGCUGAGCAAUCGGUUUGCAGGCCAGCAUCAGUUUUCCGGGAUGGAUAAUGGUACAGAGAAGGU
Molecule: ribosomal RNA, 406 nt
Filed under: Rhodotorula mucilaginosa
Lineage: Eukaryota; Fungi; Basidiomycota; Microbotryomycetes; Sporidiobolales; Sporidiobolaceae
Description: eukaryotic LSU rRNA
Rfam family: Eukaryotic large subunit ribosomal RNA
Source: RNAcentral